UGAUGGGUCUGUGCGAGAGGCUGUGUGAUUAAAUCGAGCAGGGCCGGACCUUGCUUUCAUCAUCAGCACAAAGCCAUCUGUUUGGCUGCCACUUUAGCCCCUCCUCUUUGUGAAGCAGCCUGCUCGCUCGCUCACAAGGGGGAGAUGGGAGUUGGGGAAAAGACUGCUUUUUGCUAGUUACAUUCUGCCUGCAAGGGCCUCCCCUUCAGAGUAGAACUUUUUCUACUGCAGCAAAUAGCAGAAUUUUUUUUUCUUUGCUUUUAUUUAACCCCUUUUAUUUUUCCAUGGACUGAAUUUUAUGUUUGUUGAACCCUUUCGAAAUUCUGCUUCUUCAUUUCUUCUCUGAGCUGUGGGGAUUUCUGGUUGAGCCCAUUUAUCAGAGAAAUAGAUUUUUUACUUCGGGCAUGUUCCCCAUUUUAUUCCGAAUGUGACGCACUUGUCCGCCGCCAUUUUUUUUUUUGGCGGUUUCCAAUGCGCCAAUUGCGAAGCGGAUCGAUCAUUUUAUUUCCCUGUAUUUUAUUUUUGGUAUCUCUAUUUGCAGUAUUGGGGUGGGGGGUUUGUUUUUGUAUCCCCCCCCCAUCGCUAUGUGUUUUUGGAAUGGGAGGGAAAUGGCGUGUGCACUGCCUGGGAUAGGUGCCAGCGUGAAAACAAAAGACAUAAAAUAGGCGGCAAACAUGGAAAAUGGCAGUGCACACGCAAAAAAAAAAAAAACCGCAAUCAAGGAGUGGUGGUGCACUGCGUUCCCAGGGUCCGAGAUGUCAAGGUGUCCAGAAAUCGUUUUCCAAUUCCGGGGGCUGCAAGGUGAAGCUUCUCUCUCCCGUUCCUCCGUCUCUAGGUGCCCAAGGCUGCUUCCCACCUCCUGCAGGGUGAGAAUGGUUUCUGGGUCUCCUGUUGCACAACUGAAAGAGUGUGGUGAAAAUAUAGCACAUUUCCCAGCAUUCCCUGUGGCAGAUGCCUCGUGAGCCCUGGCACAAUUACUUGGCAAUGCGUGAGAUUUGUCCUCUGCUCCUUUUAUUGGCUGCCUGUGGAGUUUGCACAAUCCCAAGAUCACAAUGGGAAUUCCCAAUAACUAUCAAGGAUAAGGACGGAUGGAACUAUCCCUUUAAGAACUCCAAAGGGAUCAACCUUUAAGAGAUUCCUGCCCUCAAAUUAGUUUGGCAGCUAUCGCUUUAAGAGACGUGGUGAUGCCCACCCUUAAGGAUAUCUGGGAUUUAACUGGGAAGAUUUGGCAUUGGUGUAACAUCAUUCUCCUUAUUGUGUCUUCCCUAUAGUAGUGACCCCCGGGAUCCUCCUCACCACUGGAGAGACGCCAGGCUUGAGAUUAACCCUUCAGAUGCUGCAGCCGUGGGGACAGAGAGAUCAAACAGACCCAGAAAUGACAGUCACGUUGCACAGUAAGUACUGAAACUGCCGCUUCUUAUCUGCAAAUCAUGUGGCGCCUUCAUCUCUGCUGAACUGACACUGCUAGAAUCUCAGCUGCCAUAAAGCAGGACAGGACUGCUGCUUCCAAUGGGGAUCAGAUAGGAUCUGUGCAGCCA
This is a long non-coding RNA of Xenopus laevis (African clawed frog), 1538 nucleotides long. RefSeq lists it as uncharacterized. The record is from RefSeq and is a predicted model, not a curated record. The transcript has 5 exons. Lineage: Eukaryota; Metazoa; Chordata; Amphibia; Anura; Pipidae.